Long non-coding RNA from Panicum virgatum (switchgrass), 859 nucleotides. RefSeq lists it as uncharacterized. The transcript has 3 exons. The record is from RefSeq and is a predicted model, not a curated record. NCBI's taxonomy places the organism in Eukaryota, Viridiplantae, Streptophyta, Magnoliopsida, Poales, Poaceae.
AUCAGCCAUGGAGCCCAGUAGCUGUGCCUUGAAGACCGGCGAGCGGGCAGCGAGCACAGCCCGGUGAGCGGGGAACUCCUCGCCAUCGAGGACGAAGGUAACAUCAGAGCCGCCGCCGUCCGGGCACUCCAGCAAGCGCCCAAGAUGGCUCCCAAUGUCGGGGGGUGGCACGUCCAAGGGGUCCUUCUGCAAAACUUUGAUCCUGCACGCGAUUGUGAAGGAGCCAUUGGUCACGUAGAGUGACUUGAGGACCCUUCGCAGUACGAAUUGAUGCCAGCCCCAAUUUUCAGCAGCGCCGUAAACACGCACGCACAUGCUUCUUGUGACGACUGCUAGCUCUAAUACAACUGUUCUUAACUUGAUCACUGAUUACAUACAGAAUAAUCAAGCUGGUGAAGCGGAUCACUUUGGAGGAUGCUCAAGUGGAGAGACGAAAAUGUACCCGCUUCAUCUAUUCAAAAGUACCUUGUGUAGAAGCUCAGUCUUCCAAGUGAGUCUGAGUGGCGAUGAGUCUCCUGAAGAUGCGCACAAGACAGUGCUUAUACUUUUAGUUGGGAGUUGAAUCAGUAGAUAAGAUUCAAUUGUUUUGCGCUACUUGUCUUUACAAUACUUGAUUCAGUGCAUGUCUAGCUAGAUUGUAUGGUGCCUACUAAGGUGGUACUGAUUUUAAUGUUUUAAGCCCACUAUGGUGAUUAUUCUAAUGCACAGACAUUACUGGAUGUGUGCACCAAAAUAAGAUCUCAACUUUGUACGAGGACUGCAUUUGUAAUGUAUACAGUGGAUAAAGAAUGUGAAUUUGUGAUGUAAAAAAUGGAUAAAACAUGUGUAUAUGUGAUGUAUAUAAGGGUACAUUGUGCCC